Molecule: RNA transcript, 585 nt
Organism: Choloepus didactylus (southern two-toed sloth)
Lineage: Eukaryota; Metazoa; Chordata; Mammalia; Pilosa; Megalonychidae
Gene: SPATA45
Gene name: spermatogenesis associated 45
Exons: 3
Source: RefSeq, a predicted model, not a curated record
CUUAGACGCAGGCGAAGGAUGAAUUAGGCCUUUCGCCCGGAAAGUAGCUGCCCGGCAAGUCGGACCCUUCCUUCAGAGCAGACAAAACCACGUUUUAUAAGUUCGUGCUGUCUUCGCAGAGGAAAUAACGCCAGAAAGUCUUCCAAUGCAAAUACAGAAAGGGAUUUCGUGAGAAAUCUGCCCUUGUGAAGUUGAAAUUCCCCUACCCCCACACCGCUGCCUUGAGUGAGGCCAGGUCGCUCUACAUUCUCCUUUCAUCCAACAACUGUAGUUAAUGUUUACUGGAUACGCCUAUACAUUGGGUUCAGUGGGUUCCAGAUUGUAAAUUCCAUGAAGGCAAGGCUGAGUGUUUUGUUGCUUUUCGCUACUCCCUUAUUCACAGCACCAAGAACCAUACCUGGAACAAGCUAUCAUAGGCCUUCCCUGCACAUGACAAAGCUCUACAUCUGACAUCACCACCAUCUACAUGGAGUGUCCACCGAAGGGGGUCCAGAGGAGUGGGGAAGAGCAUCAGAUCUAGAGUCAGGCUGCCUGGGAUUGAAUCCCAGCUUCAGUAGUCACUAGCUGUGUAAGCUUGGGUAAGUA